Molecule: long non-coding RNA, 1665 nt
Organism: Drosophila rhopaloa
Lineage: Eukaryota; Metazoa; Arthropoda; Insecta; Diptera; Drosophilidae
Exons: 4
Source: RefSeq, a predicted model, not a curated record
UCUGCAUAAAUAAUUAGCGAAAUAAUUGGCUCCGCGCGUAAUUAGCCGGAAUUCACGGAAUCCUUCGCCAAGAUGACAACGCAGGCGAGGCCAAAAGUCAAAUACCUGGCCAAAUGCAGUGAGCCAAAAAUAAUGAACUCAAAAUGAAGUGAAACAAGAAGAAAACACAGCUUUAAUUAUUCAUAUUUCAUUAGUGAGCAGAAGCAGAAGAAGAAGAAGAAGAAGAAGAAGGGCAGGUGAAUGCGAUGGCGAGGGCAAAGGCGUGUGCCAUAUAAAAUUUAUAAAAAUCAAAGUAAGCACUGGGAGCACAGGGAUACGGAUUCCUCAGAGACCGACGUCGGAAUACCCUCCUGGACACUUAUUCUAGGGUGCCCCGAAAAACUCAUCCAAUCAAAUUGAGUCCCCAAAAUUACCGGAUUGCGUUGUUUGUGAAACACCACGAAUUACUUUAAAGGGAGAUUUUACUUAUAAAUUGCUUUUUUAUGGAGAUAUACGGGAAAAGAAAUCCCCAACCACGUGGCAAAACUGUGGCCAAAAGGAAAGCGCCAUUUGCAAGAGUACAAAAUGGAGAACGAGAAGCAGGAGGUCAGCUCAGAGUAAAACAAAAGGGAAAUGUUGGAAACGAAUCUGGAUACACAUCAUCAUUUGUCUUGGCGGGGAGACGGCAGUGGCGACGAAGUGCGGCCAGGGCACAUUGAUGAAUGAAGUGCGUAGUGGCUGAAAGGCCAAAAGGCAGCCGCAUUAAAAAUGCACACGCAAUCAGAAAAUGUUUCACGACGACCUCAUAAACUGGGGACUCAGGGCUCAGGACUCAGGACUCCGGACUCGGGACUCCCAACUCCAUGGGCCGCCAGGUGAUGGAUCAGCGACCUCAGAUAAGACAGGCAAAGAAGGAAAAGGAACAAGAUCCAAAGCUGGAGCUGAAGCCGGAGUCGGGGUAAUGACGGCCUUUCAAGGCAAUUACCCCUCACGGCGGACACCCGGACCUGGCCUCCACCUUUGGCAGCAACACCUUCGCAACAUUUCGGCUUGACUGGCUGCGAACUUUGGCACCCACCUGAGCUCCGAACCGGGUUCGGGUUGCUUACUGGGUCAACGCGCUGGCCAUCCGCCUCGCCAACCCUGUGAUUUAUUAUGGAACCGCCGAGGAUGUUUUCUUUGACGGAGCACGUUCAUUCAGCAAGGAUGCAUUCUUGCACUUUAAAAAAACAAACUCAUCAUCACCAUGCAGGCGGCACAGAUCCAGAAAUACCAACGCAACCACCCACGGAAUCACCCACGGUGCCACCCACUCAUCCAGCCAACUACCGUACGUUUGGCGACGAACUCCCCGCGGCGUCAUUGUGCUCCCUGGCAGGCGGCAGUGGAAAAUGCCAUUUGAUGGCAUUUAGAUGGGAUCGCUGAUUGAUGUUACUGGCUUCUCCUCGAAUUCCCAAAGCCAGCGCCGUGCUCCAAGCACUGGGGUGUGGGUCAGUUCGGUUCCCGGUGGCUGGAGGGCUUUGCGGCUGUUUCGUGGGCGGUUAAGAAGUUUGCGAAAGGUGGCUCUACGGAAAUAAACCAUGUUGAAAGAUGUCUUAGGCUAGCAUUAGUGCAAAGGUGAUUUUAGAUGGGAAGGAAAAACGAGUUUUGUACUUUUACAUAACAAGUUUCCGAUAGUUUAUCAAC